Macaca mulatta (Rhesus monkey) is the source of this 117-nucleotide unclassified non-coding RNA. It matches the Rfam family "Metazoan signal recognition particle RNA". From Rfam's summary of the family: The signal recognition particle (SRP) is a universally conserved ribonucleoprotein. The record is from Ensembl. NCBI's taxonomy places the organism in Eukaryota, Metazoa, Chordata, Mammalia, Primates, Cercopithecidae.
GCUGGGCGCGAUGACUCAUGCCUGUAAUCCCAGCACAUUGGGAGGCUGAGGCAGGUGGAUCACCUGAGGUCAGGAGUUCCAGACGAGCCUGGCCAACAUGGUGAAACCCUGUCUCUA